RNAcentral lists this ribosomal RNA (1372 nucleotides) under uncultured bacterium. RNAcentral describes it as "bacterial SSU rRNA". It matches the Rfam family "Bacterial small subunit ribosomal RNA", at positions 28 to 1381 of the family's 1533-position model. The record is from RNAcentral.
GAUGAACGCUGGCGGCGUGCCUAAUACAUGCAAGUCGAGCGAACAGACGAGGAGCUUGCUCCUUUGACGUUAGCGGCGGACGGGUGAGUAACACGUGGGUAACCUACCUAUAAGACUGGGAUAACUUCGGGAAACCGGAGCUAAUACCGGAUAAUAUUUCGAACCGCAUGGUUCGAUAGUGAAAGAUGGCUUUGCUAUCACUUAUACAUGGACCUGCGCCGUAUUAGCUAGUUGGUAAGGUAACGGCUUACCAAGGCAACGAUACGUAGCCGACCUGAGAGGGUGAUCGGCCACACUGGAACUGAGACACGGUCCAGACUCCUACGGGAGGCAGCAGUAGGGAAUCUUCCGCAAUGGGCGAAAGCCUGACGGAGCAACGCCGCGUGAGUGAUGAGGGUCUUCGGAUCGGAAAACUCUGUUAUUAGGGAAGAACAAACGUGUAAGUAACUGUGCACGUCUUGACGGUACCUAAUCACAAAGCCACGGCUAACUACGUGCCCAGCAUCCGCGGUAAUACGUAGGUGGCAAGCGUUAUCCGGAAUUAUUGGGCGUACAGCGCGCGUAGGCGGUUUUUUAGUCUGAUGUGAAAGCCCACGGCUCAACCGUGGAGGGUCAUUGGAAACUGGAAAACUUGAGUGCAGAAGAGGAAAGUGGAAUUCCAUGUGUAGCGGUGAAAUGCGCAGAGAUAUGGAGGAACACCAGUGGCGAAGGCGACUUUCUGGUCUGUAACUGACGCUGAUGUGCGAAAGCGUGGGGAUCAAACAGGAUUAGAUACCCUGGUAGUCCACGCCGUAAACGAUGAGUGCUAAGUGUUAGGGGGUUUCCGCCCCUUAGUGCUGCAGCUAACGCAUUAAGCACUCCGCCUGGGGAGUACGACCGCAAGGUUGAAACUCAAAGGAAUUGACGGGGACCCGCACAAGCGGUGGAGCAUGUGGUUUAAUUCGAAGCAACGCGAAGAACCUUACCAAAUCUUGACAUCCUUUGACCCUUCUAGAGAUAGAAGUUUCCCCUUCGGGGGACAAAGUGACAGGUGGUGCAUGGUUGUCGUCAGCUCGUGUCGUGAGAUGUUGGGUUAAGUCCCGCAACGAGCGCAACCCUUAAGCUUAGUUGCCAUCAUUAAGUUGGGCACUCUAAGUUGACUGCCGGUGACAAACCGGAGGAAGGUGGGGAUGACGUCAAAUCAUCAUGCCCCUUAUGAUUUGGGCUACACACGUGCUACAAUGGACAAUACAAAGGGCAGCGAAACCGCGAGGUCAAGCAAAUCCCAUAAAGUUGUUCUCAGUUCGGAUUGUAGUCUGCAACUCGACUACAUGAAGCUGGAAUCGCUAGUAAUCGUAGAUCAGCAUGCUACGGUGAAUACGUUCCCGGGUCU